RNAcentral lists this ribosomal RNA (478 nucleotides) under uncultured bacterium. Its description in RNAcentral is "bacterial SSU rRNA". It matches the Rfam family "Bacterial small subunit ribosomal RNA", at positions 90 to 566 of the family's 1533-position model. The record is from RNAcentral.
GACGACCGGCGCACGGGUGAGUAACACGUAUCCAACCUUCCCAUUACUCGGGGAUAGCCUUUCGAAAGAAAGAUUAAUACCCGAUAGUACUUAAUUAUGGCAUCAUGAUUAAGUUAAAGAUUUAUUGGUAAUGGAUGGGGAUGCGUUCCAUUAGAUUGUUGGUGAGGUAACGGCUCACCAAGUCUUCGAUGGAUAGGGGUUCUGAGAGGAAGGUCCCCCACAUUGGUACUGAGACACGGACCAAACUCCUACGGGAGGCAGCAGUGAGGAAUAUUGGUCAAUGGGCGAGAGCCUGAACCAGCCAAGUAGCGUGAAGGAUGAAGGUCCUAUGGAUUGUAAACUUCUUUUAUAGUAGAAUAAAGUGAGCCACGUGUGGUUUUUUGUAUGUAUACUAUGAAUAAGGAUCGGCUAACUCCGUGCCAGCAGCCGCGGUAAUACGGAGGAUCCGAGCGUUAUCCGGAUUUAUUGGGUUUAAAGG